Long non-coding RNA from Clupea harengus (Atlantic herring), 1138 nucleotides. Lineage: Eukaryota; Metazoa; Chordata; Actinopteri; Clupeiformes; Clupeidae. The record is from Ensembl.
GUGCCUUUAUAAGACUGCGUCAAUGGUCCCGUGGAGUUAUCCCUUCUGUUGAUGUUUAUUGAUUGUCAAACAUGGCUUCAUUUGCAAAGGUGGUUGUGUGUGUCCUCAUUGCUUGUGUCUGUAAUGCAUUCGGUUUUCCGAAGAGAGAUGUGAACUUUAAGGCCUCUGCAGUUGACCGCCAAAGUGAUGAUGUGGUUGUCACCACAACACCCGUUCCCCACAACCAGACCACCUCUGCCCCUACUGAAGCUGGUGGUGGUGCAAGUGAAGAUGCUGUGGCUACUACCCCAGCACCUAAUCCACACAACCAGACAACUUCUGCACAAACUGAAGUUACUGAUGGAGCCAGUGAAGAUGCUGUGGACCGCCAAAGUGAUGAUGUGGUUGUCGCCACAACACCUGAUCCCCACAACCAGACCACAUCUGCCCCUACUGAAGCUGGUGAUGGAGCAAGUGAAGAUGCUGUGGCUACCACCCCAACACCAAAUCCCCCAACUACAUCUGACCACACUGCAGCUACCGGUAAGGACAUCAGUGCAUGUCUGUUUUGAUGGAACACUUUGAAUGUUUGCGCCCCCCUUUUGACAGUGUCGCUUUCUAUUUGUGCGUAAUCGCAAAAUGAUGCAAGUGAGGGUGCUGUGGCUGCCCAAACUGGAACUACUGUAUCCCAUACGACUGAAGUCUGAUUCGACUGCUCCUCUGGUCACAAUGACCUGUCUGGACUUUUUGCCUCUACAUUUUGACUGCAAUAAAGGACAGAUUUGUAUUUUUUAAUCAAAUGUUGUCUUGCCUUUUUCGAAUUGAGGCCUUGUCCUGUUUUGGUAGUGGAGAUGACUAUGAAGCCUCUUUCCUAACGUAUUUCCUGUAGUGGUUUUACUAUAUGCUUCAUGCAACAAGGCCUUCAACGACUCUACAAUUUAAAAGCAUCUAGUUGUGUCUGAAUUUGUAAAAUGGUUGAACUGGUAGUGAUGCACUAUAAUGGUGAACUGCUUGUGGCAUUUCAAUAAUCUCUACUGUACUGUUUGACAUGUACAUCUCAAGUGAAUUUGCGUGGUAAUUGGUAAACUGAUGUCCGUCCCUACUAAGGGAGUACUGGCCUUAGUAGGCCAACCCCCUGAAAGGCAUUCAAACAAUAACA